RNAcentral lists this non-coding RNA (31 nucleotides) under Rattus norvegicus (Norway rat). Lineage: Eukaryota; Metazoa; Chordata; Mammalia; Rodentia; Muridae. The record is from RNAcentral.
UCAUCUUAAAAAUAAAAAUCAGUGCCCAUUU